GUCUAUGGCGGGCUGUGCGAGGCACCCUCACGGGUGGCCGGUCACUCCGUCCGGUAGUUCCAACCUCGUACAGUCCGCCACCAUC
Molecule: non-coding RNA, 85 nt
Filed under: Candidatus Competibacter denitrificans Run_A_D11
Lineage: Bacteria; Pseudomonadati; Pseudomonadota; Gammaproteobacteria; Candidatus Competibacteraceae
Source: RNAcentral